Molecule: small nuclear RNA, 51 nt
Organism: Heterocephalus glaber (naked mole-rat)
Lineage: Eukaryota; Metazoa; Chordata; Mammalia; Rodentia; Bathyergidae
Gene: U7
Rfam family: U7 small nuclear RNA
About the family: Animal histone pre-mRNAs are spliced by a different mechanism than nuclear pre-mRNAs and self-splicing introns. This processing involves the U7 snRNP, which contains only one RNA species: U7.
Source: Ensembl
CAGUAUUACAGCUCUUUCAGAAUUUGUGUAGUAGGUUUUACAGAAACCUCC